Molecule: ribosomal RNA, 252 nt
Filed under: uncultured bacterium
Lineage: Bacteria
Description: partial 16S ribosomal RNA
Rfam family: Bacterial small subunit ribosomal RNA
Source: RNAcentral
GGGGAUCAGUGGCGAACGGGUGAGUAACACGUGGGCAACCUGCCCUCAGCUCUGGGAUAACUCCAAGAAAUUGGGGCUAAUACUGGAUAUGACUGCUGACCGCAUGGUCUGGUGGUGGAAAGAUUUAUCGGCUGGGGAUGGGCCCGCGGCCUAUCAGCUUGUUGGUGGGGUAGUGGCCUACCAAGGCGACGACGGGUAGCCGGCCUGAGAGGGUGACCGGCCACACUGGGACUGAGACACGGCCCAGACUCC